This is a long non-coding RNA of Balaenoptera ricei (Rice's whale), 1694 nucleotides long. RefSeq lists it as uncharacterized. NCBI's taxonomy places the organism in Eukaryota, Metazoa, Chordata, Mammalia, Artiodactyla, Balaenopteridae. The transcript is spliced from 3 exons. The record is from RefSeq and is a predicted model, not a curated record.
GCGCCCUUCCGCCUCACGGCCGACGCUCUACCCCGGCGCCCCGCGCCGCCGCUCUACCCCGGCCCCGCCGCCCUGACGCCUGCCCGGUCUCGGCCCCCCGCCGAUCCCGCCCGGGCCGCCCCGCUCCCGCCGGUCCUCGUCUGCCCACCCUCCCCAGCCUCCACCCCGUGCCCUCACCGUUGCGGCAGACGGCGGGCUGCGGGCAGAGCGGGCUGUUGCAGGGCACGCUGGGCCGCAGGCAAGGAGACCAAAGUACAGGAGGAUUGAAUAAUUGCCCCAGGCCACACACUCAAGCAAGACUUGGAACCCAAGCAGUUUGGUUACAGAGUCCAGGCAGUAAUGACCCAGCCAUGCCACCUUUCUGCUGGUAAACGGCCAGGUGUCGUUCUAGGUGCUGGAUAUAUGGUGGCAAACAAAACAAAGUCCCUUUCCUGGCGGACCUUGUGUUCUACUGGACACAGGGGCCACAGGCCUUUCAGCAUUGCUGGAGGACCCAGUGCAGAGCAGGGAGUGAUGGUGGAGGAAGCUGAAGAGGAGGAGGACAGUUUGUUUUACGUGGAAGAGUUGAGUUGAUACCCUACCUACUUCCACAAAGGACCUGAGGCACAUAAAAAGGUAAGGAUUUGCCAAAUCAAACUACCACUGGGCAGGAAUCCCCGACCCCGUCCUGAGAAGAAGAUUCUUCUGCUUCCCCCAGAGGCUCUUGGUUGCUGCAGGGAGACUGCCAACACUGCUGGAGAAAAGAGGCUGCUCCUGGACCCUGUGUACUCCUAGAAAUCCCCUUGGGUUGAUUCAGUAAUUGGAUUUUGACUCAAGGCUGUGAGUGGAGAGCCUGGUACAUAGUGAGAACUUCAUAAGUGCUUGUUGAAUGAAAACAUGAGGGUGAUGACUUUAUCUGUAAAAUAAAGGAGUGGCUAAUCCCUCUGAGCUUUGACUUCAGCCUAAGAAUGAGUGGCAUUAUGAACUUCCUGGAAAGUAAGAUGGUUCCUAUACCAACACCCUGCUCAAUUUAAGUCAAAGGAUAAAAUGUCACAAGUAAAACCAUGUGCCUGGGCUUCCCUGGUGGCGCAGUGGUUAAGAAUCUGCCUGCCGGGCUUCCCUCGUGGCGCAGUGGUUGAGAAUCUGCCUGCCAAUGCAGGGGACACGGGUUCGAGCCCUGGUCUGGGAAGAUCCCACAUGCCACGGAGCAACUGGGCCCGUGAACCACAAUUACUGAGCCUGUGCGUCUGGAGCCUGUGCUCCGCAACAAGAGAGACCGCGAUGGUGAGAGGCCCGCGCACCGCGAUGAAGAGUGGUCCCCACUUGCCACAACUAGAGAAAGCCCUCACACAGAAACGAAGACCCAACACAGUCAUAAAUAAAUAAAUAAAUAAAUAAAAGAACGUAAAUUUCUUUAAAAAAAAAAAGAAUCUGCCUGCCAAUGCAAGGGACACGGGUUUGAACCCUGGCCUGGGAACAUCCCACAUGCUGCGGAGCAACUAAGCCUGUGCACCACAACUAUUGAGCCUGCGCUCUAGAGCCCGCAGGCCACAACUGCUGAGCCCAUGUGCCCUAACUACUGAAGCCUGUGCACCUAGAGCCCGAGCUCCGAAACAGGAGAAGCCACGACAAUGAGAAGCCCGCGCACCGCAGUGAAGAGUAGCCCCUGCUCACUGCAACUAGAGAAAGCCCACGCACAGCAACAAAGACACAAC